GGAGGCAGCAGUGGGGAAUUUUCCGCAAUGGGCGAAAGCCUGACGGAGCAACGCCGCGUGAGGGAGGAAGGUCUUUGGAUUGUAAACCUCUUUUCUCAAGGAAGAAGUUCUGACGGUACUUGAGGAAUCAGCCUCGGCUAACUCCGUGCCAGCAGCCGCGGUAAUACGGGGGAGGCAAGCGUUAUCCGGAAUUAUUGGGCGUAAAGCGUCCGCAGGUGGUCAGCCAAGUCUGCUGUCAAAUCAGGUUGCUUAACGACCUAAAGGCGGUGGAAACUGGCAGACUAGAGAGCAGUAGGGGUAGCAGGAAUUCCCAGUGUAGCGGUGAAAUGCGUAGAGAUUGGGAAGAACAUCGGUGGCGAAAGCGUGCUACUGGGCUGUAUCUGACACUCAGGGACGAAAGCUAGGGGAGCGAAAGGGAUUAGAUACCCCUGUAGUCCUAGCCGUAAACNNUGGAUACUAGGCGUGGCUUNUAUCGACC
RNAcentral lists this ribosomal RNA (478 nucleotides) under Microcystis viridis. RNAcentral describes it as "bacterial SSU rRNA". It matches the Rfam family "Bacterial small subunit ribosomal RNA", at positions 344 to 837 of the family's 1533-position model. The record is from RNAcentral. Lineage: Bacteria; Bacillati; Cyanobacteriota; Cyanophyceae; Chroococcales; Microcystaceae.